RNAcentral lists this transfer RNA (75 nucleotides) under Aureoumbra lagunensis. Its description in RNAcentral is "tRNA-Phe". It matches the Rfam family "tRNA". Rfam says of the family: Transfer RNA (tRNA) molecules are approximately 80 nucleotides in length. Their secondary structure includes four short double-helical elements and three loops (D, anti-codon, and T loops). Lineage: Eukaryota; Pelagophyceae; Sarcinochrysidales; Sarcinochrysidaceae. The record is from RNAcentral.
GUUUGAGUAGCUCAGUUUGGUUAGAGCAUAGGAUUGAAAAUCCUUGAGUCAUCAGUUCAAAUCUGGUUUCAAACG